AAAGGAAUUGGCGGGGGAGCGCCGCAACGAGAGGAGCGUGCGGUUUAAUUGGAUUCAACGCCGGAAAACUCACCAGAGCCGACUGUUAAAUGAAGACCAGCGUGAUGAGCUUGUCGGAUUUCCAGAGAGGUAGUGCAUGGCCGUCGUCAGUUCGUACCGUAAGGCGUUCUGUUAAGUCAGAUAACGAACGAGACCCCCAUCGCUAUUUGCCAUCCAUCUCUCCGGAGAUGAGGCACUAUAGCGAGACCGCUGGCGUGAAGUCAGAGGAAGGCGGGGGCAACGGUAGGUCAGUAUGCUCCGAAUGCUCUGGGCUACACGCGCGCUUCAAAGGGCGGGACAAUGGGCAGCAACACCGAAAGGGGACGCUAUCCCGAAACCCGCUCGUAGUUCGGAUCGAGGGCUGUAAUUCGCCCUCGUGAAGCUGGAUUUCGGUAGUAAUCGCGUGC
This 446-nucleotide ribosomal RNA is filed under the name uncultured archaeon. RNAcentral describes it as "bacterial SSU rRNA". It matches the Rfam family "Archaeal small subunit ribosomal RNA", at positions 858 to 1305 of the family's 1478-position model. The record is from RNAcentral.